This 1068-nucleotide long non-coding RNA is filed under the name Sus scrofa (pig). RNAcentral describes it as "lncRNA (ENSSSCG00070001205.1)". Lineage: Eukaryota; Metazoa; Chordata; Mammalia; Artiodactyla; Suidae. The record is from RNAcentral.
AUGGGACGCAGGGGAGUCUGGUCAUUGGCCCUGGGCUCUCGUAUUGGGAGGCGGCAAAGCGAGGUCCCUGGUCACUCUGCUGGAUGGAGAGAACCAGCCUCCCGACAGAAUCUUCUAGUCCCCAGACAGGCACAACUGGCCAGAAGGCGGCCCAGCGUGGGGUGGGGGGGGCGAAGGCAGGGGCUGCCUGUCCCACCGCAGGCUGUCACCAGGGCGGGAGUGACCCCAGAAGCUAAAAUAAGACUUGUGUGCUCCAAAAAUGCUCUGCCAAGGGCACUGCCAGCGCUGGAAAUAGGCCUGCCUGCUGGCUUCCCGCCCAGGACUCAGGGUGGAGCGCCAGAGACCCGCUUCCAUCCCACCCCUUUUAUCCGGGGAAGUCAGGCCCUCGCCACCAGGAGCUGCCUUGCUCCACACAACGCUUGCUGGAGAGUCUGGGCAGACUCGGGAGAGUCACUUGUGGGCUCACCAGCUUGUGCUCGCGGCCAGCAGAGGUGCAGGAAGCCCUUUAUGAGCCCGGGGACCCCAAGGACGGCUUCCUCUCACUGUGCACGGUGGGCAGGGCAGGCUCACUGUGCUGAGAGGACGCAGACAAGUCCCCUGCCCCUCUGCUGCCCGCAGCUUCACCUGCGUCCCCAGCCUCCCCCUUGUCUCAAGAGGUGGAGACGGAGGCCCGGAGGGAAGGAGAGAGGGGGACCAGCCUUCUUGGCACACCUCCCAGGUCCCUCGUACGACGCCUUCACUGCCCUUGGCCUCCCUAAGAGGCCCCUCAUCCCAUGUUACAGAAGGGAAGACCGAGGCUCAGAGAGGCCAGGGAGCUUGCUCUGGGUCACGUCACAAAGCUCUUUGGUGGUGAAGCUCUACCAGGAGUUAGGAUCCCUGGUGCUGAGUCAAUACACCCUCCCACCUCCGUGGGGAAGGACAGAGGGGCUCAGACACCCCCACCGGCAACCCCGCAGGGCCCCUGGGCGCCUCCGACCCCAGGCUGCGCACCCUAACCCUGGGAGCAGGCGGCUCUGGUGCAGCCAGGUCUCUGCCAGCUGCGUGGCAAAUGGCUUGUUCCUUCCCUGA